This 471-nucleotide ribosomal RNA is filed under the name uncultured organism. RNAcentral describes it as "bacterial SSU rRNA". It matches the Rfam family "Bacterial small subunit ribosomal RNA", at positions 28 to 507 of the family's 1533-position model. The record is from RNAcentral.
GAUAAACGCUGGCGGCGCACAUAAGACAUGCAAGUCGAACGAACUUAACCAUUAGUUUACUAUUGGAGCGGUUAGUGGCGGACUGGUGAGUAACACGUAAGCAACCUGCCUAUCAGAGGGGAACAACAGUUAGAAAUGACUGCUAAUACCGCAUAUGCCUUGAGUAUCACAUGGUACAAAAGGGAAAGGAGCAAUCCGCUGAUAGAUGGGCUUGCGUCUGAUUAGAUAGUUGGUGAGGUAACGGCCCACCAAGUCGACGAUCAGUAGCCGGACUGAGAGGUUGAACGGCCACAUUGGGACUGAGAUACGGCCCAGACUCCUACGGGAGGCAGCAGUCGGGAAUAUUGCGCAAUGGAGGAAACUCUGACGCAGUGACGCCGCGUGCAGGAAGAAGGUUUUCGGAUUGUAAACUGCUUUAGACAGGGAAGAAACAAGACAGUACCUGUAGAAUAAGCUCCGGCUAACUACGUG